Columba livia (rock pigeon) is the source of this 7867-nucleotide long non-coding RNA. RefSeq lists it as uncharacterized. Lineage: Eukaryota; Metazoa; Chordata; Aves; Columbiformes; Columbidae. The transcript is spliced from 2 exons. The record is from RefSeq and is a predicted model, not a curated record.
CCGCCCCUCCGGGGACCGCGCCUGGGGGGGCUGCGGCCACCCGGGGACGGCGGCACCGGGCACAGCGGUUCGGGGGCGGAGGGGAUGUGUAUCAUCGGGGCCGCCCGUUUCUCUGCCCGGCCACGCACCGUGCGUGGGUCCCGGCCACUUUCCAGCGCCCCCGAGCCGAGCGCGAAAGGACGCGCGGGGCCCGGCAGCGCCGCGGCGAAGUUGGCCCGUCCGGUCCCCAUCCUGGUCCCCGUCCCGGUCCUGGUCCGGCGCUGAGGCGAGGGGAGGCCAGCGUUCAACAACACACAGAGGAGGCUCAGACAUGACGGGAAGAUUAAUUUAUCCAAUUGAAACAGCAGGGGGAAUUCAGGUAGGUGGAAUUUAAUUACUGGAUUUGGAAGAGAAGAUGUGAAUCUCCAGAGCUGUCAAGAGCACUUAAAAAAUAAAAUCAUAAUCAUUGACACAGAGCAGGGCAGCUGUUGGUAUGCCAGCUACAGCUUGGUCCCAGGCCAUGGUCCUGCAGGGAUGGCCCUCAGUGUCAUCCCUGUCCCGUGGAGCGUUCCCUGCUGGCUCCACACACAGCCCUGGCACAGCAACCCUGUCCACGCAGGGCAGCCAAAGUGGGAAUUACAGACAUUGCUGAGGGCAAAAAAAACCCCUGGAGUAGGACUCCAGAAAAGAGCUGCCUUGCCCAGCUGUCCCUGCUCACCUGCCUUACUCACUGCCCUUCGAUCCUGCCACUGACAAGUAUUGCACAAGCUGAGCAAUCCCUUGCAGAAGACAUUAGAGAAUAAAUUAAGUAUUGGAGCAGAUGUGAGUCAUUCCUGUUAGUACAAGAACUACAGAACAAACCCCAUAAAAACAGGAAUCCAUGCAUAAAGUAACAUAUGGAAUGAGUCUGAGAUAAGAUGUCAAAUGCUGGAAAGUCCGAUGCACAUGUUGUAAACAGCCUCUCCUAUGCGUUUCCCACACACUCCUCUUGGUUUUAUUAUUUCCUGCAGUUGUUUUCUGUCACUUGCUAAUUUAUCAUUUGCGAUCUUCAUCGUCUGUCCUUCUCCGAUUUAUUUCCAGGACUCAGUAAGCCCUUCUCCCCCAACAAAAUCCAUGCCUCUCAGGCCCAGCACUCACAGAAAGAUGCCCAGAUAAAAAUUUCAUUAGCAUCCACAAAAAGGGACAUUUCUCUUUCUUUGUUUCAAGGCCGUCUGACUUUGAAAUGCCUUUAUCAGAACAAUGAAAUCCAGGUCCAGUGGGUAGGCUUAGGUUGUCGUUGCAAAACAAGCUUCAACAGCAUGGCCAAGCAGGAGCAGAACCGCGUGGGAACAGAGUGGAAAGCCCUUGUGCCAUGGUGAGCCGUCAACCUGACACUGCAUGGGAGGCCCAUGCCAGCCUGAAAAUGCCACCAAUUCCCAUGGUGCCACACCAACUAACCUUCCUCAGGCCCAUGGUCAGUGUAGCUGGACCACUGCACUCCAGCUCUGCCACCAUGAGACAUCUCUACCCAACCUAGAAGGGACCUGCAGGUAAAUGCAGCAGGUGUUGCUCUCUUCCCCAAGCUGUUAUUUUAUGUUUUCUCCUGAAAGCUAAGGCUCAUCAAUGGUAGCUUUGCACAGGGCUUAUAUUUGUCUUCUUACCUUGUGUCUACCACAGCUAUUGGCACAGGCUGGUUGCUACCUCUGACAUACCUUCUUCUAACCACAUUUGUGAUAAGAAUGGCUCUCUGACCAAAAAUAUCAUCUUGCCACAAGUAGAAAGUCACCACUGGUGUUUCCCCAACUGGGAUGAAAUGACCUUGACUGCUGUAACGCAGCAUUUCCCCCAGCACAUUCGCAGAGGGUGCCGAGAUUUUCCUACCAUACCUCGUUCUGUGUUAGGAGAGCUUUUCCAGAUAAAGGCACCUGGGUGUUAUCAUUCAAAGCUGGAUUAAAAACCUUGUCUUUUUCAUAGGUCAGACUUUCAGUGGAAGUUAUUACAAAAUAUAAGGGGGAAAUAUAGAAAAUAUCAGGGAAAUACAUUACAAAUUAGAUUACAAGUAAGGUAAUAAAUAGGACAGACCUGACAAAGAUGCAAUCAGAUAAUGCUAUCUUAUUACCUUGAGAAACAACUCCCUCUGCUGAGGGAAAGCUUUAUUGGCAGAGCUCGACGCUGUGAUGAAUAACCCGCUGUGCCCGCAGAGAUAACAGGCAAAGGCCUGACCCGUUCCUGCUAGCGCUGCCGUUAUACCGGCGAGGAGGUGACACCACGAGCACCACGGUGACACCGAACAAAGCCCUGCCUGCUGGAGCCCCGUACCUGCUCUGUGCGGGUAUGUGGUGAGACGGGAGAUUCGAGGAGCGCUAGUGAUGCAUAUGAUCUCCAAAAAAGUCUGUUGCUCCUGACUGUGAGCGUGUGUGCUGCGACAGGUAAUAUAUUGAGCAGAGGAUGGUAACAGCUAUUUAAACAAGAAUAAGGCAAGACUACAAAUCUCUAGGUUCAGAGUUAUCUGAAGUCAUAGACUUUCAGAGACUUGUAUAAAAAUCCUACUGCAAUUCCAUUAAAACCACAGCAAUAAAAAAGAAAAAAAUUGCUAUUAUAUUAUUGAUGGGCCUAUCUUCCCCAUUUUUCUGUUUUUUUCAUCUGCCAAUCUCAGUUGCUUUACAAGUGAGGUCCAUAACAUACUACGUGUUUCCAAGAGAGCAAAAUUUAAGGCCAGCAGUACAUCUAGAGACAGGAAAAAAAAGUGUAGGAAACGGGUAUUUAGCAUUUGUUGGCACUACAAAGUUGAUUAAAGUGAUUGUUUCAUGAGAGCAGAAAUAUGACAGAAUUGUGGGGUACUACGGUGGGUCUGUGGAUUCCCUGAUGGAGGACAUGGCAACAGAAAUUAGCCUUGAAGAUAUGAAGGCCUACCGGUGAGAAAGAUGGGAGUAAAGGAGUAUCCAGAGAUGUUAAGGAUGUACCCGUGAGAGAGAAGGGAGUAGAAGAGUAACAUUGAUGAUAGCAAAAAUAGCCAAUGAGAUGUUACUGCUGUAACUUGUAACCAAUAGUGAAGAGACACAUGAAUUGGUAAAACUGUAUAAAAAUGCAUUUCUGGCAAUAAAUGGCAUCUACUACUUUCAUCCUGGAAGAACUUGGUCUAUGUCGUUUUUCCAUCUCAACCACGACACAUAAAUUUUGAGUGGAAAGGAAAACUCCACAAUCGCAACCUCAGGCGGUGGGGUCCUGAAUUGAAGGAAAGGGUGGUCGGAGAAAGUAGCUCUCCUCACUGUUUCAAGGACACCUGUAAAAGCACAUUUCAAGAGAAUUUAAUCUCACUAGGGUCUGCAAACCACCCAGGCACUGCUUCGGUGCAGUUUAUACGGGGAAUACGCCUGGGUUUGGCUCACAUCUGAAAUCCCACCCAGAGAAAAAACAAGUUUCUUUUCCAAAAGGAUCACAAAUAGUUUGUGUUUUGUUCCUGGAAAUCUGAAAGGGUGAUAAACAGGUAGGUUUGAGAAGUGAUUUGAGGAAAGGAUCAAAAUCUAUCCCUGACGCAGGAUGCUGAACACCACAGCUUCUUGUAAGAUGGAGCAACCCCGCCAAGCUCUGGCUGAGAAAGGGCUUCUAGGACACAGAGACCCAGUGCCAGGGGAGGACCUGGUGCAGAGCCAGCAGUUCAGGGCAGCCCAGGUCUUCCUGCUGUUUAUGGCAAUGCAGCUUCUCGACAAAGAGAUCCUGCUUGCAGUAGCAGAUAUAUCAGGAGGAAUUUGUUUGCAAAAAUAAGAUCUGUGUUUGAAAGGGUCAGCAUGGCCAUAUGGUUACACAGGGAGAUGGAUUUCAUUCAGUGGUCAAACACAUCCUUGCGGUCCCUGCUCCAGGCUUGGGGAAAGAAGCUAACACAGAAGUUUCUCUCCCCACCCCAUGGAAGAGGGUGUGCUGCACUUACUGCAUUUAACCACACUGAAGACAGCGCCGGGAGAGGACGGAGAGCACGUCAAAGCUGCUCCCAAAUAACUGUUUUGGCAAGUGCUGAGCAUUGGCAUGUUUCACAAGAAGCCCAGCUGUCCCUUGUCACCCAUCAGCCGAGGUGCCAGCCUGACUGCAGGGCUCCCAGAGAGCAAGCCAACACAUGUCCCUGGCCCAGGCACCGCCCCGCCAGCCCCAACCUGCUCCCCAGGGGUGACUCAGAAACCAUUUGCUACUUGUCUAGGGGUGGAGCUGUGCUUUGAAUGUGAACAGUCAUGUCAGCGACUAUUCCAGGUUUAUAUUUAAUACAAGAACAAAAAUCCCUUUUCGGAUCUGCAGCUGCUCAGAAAGCCUCCAGGUCACUUGAUCUGUUCCUAAUCCAGUCAACAUGAGUAGAAGAAGGGGAGAAGUCACAGGUCCUUUGCACAGGAGCAAGGAGAGAUUGUUGCUUUGCCAGGGGAGUCCACCAGCUCUGCAGCGCUUGUCACCACUCUGCCUUGUCCCUGUGGCAUGUUGCUGCACGGGUAUGUGUGUCCUGAGCUGCUGGUUCCAAGAUACAGCUCCCAUCACACACAGUCCUCAGGGUUGUGGACAACAGCGAGGACUCUCUGCCACCUCAGGCAGUAGUCUACCAUCUCAAAAAGCAGAUUCUGUGAAGGCUGUUGAAGAUACUGAAGAGAUUAUCCUACAUUUUUGUGGCAGGUGUUAAGCAGACUUCAGAGCCAAAUCUCUACUUCUGUGAUAUGUAACUGUGGCCUGAUGCCACACAGCUGGCAAUAUGUAAUAUUGCACCAGGCAUUUUGUGGUAAGGAGCAUUUUCACAGCUGGAUGAAAAGUUUUACCCUCUUCCACCUACAAAAUGUUUUGUAGAAAAAAGAAAUCUUGACUAUUCAUCCCGCUUUCUUCGGGGAUCCAAAAGCUGAAGAGAGUGAGCCACACACCACCUAACGAUACUUCAAUCCCAUUAUUUAGGUGAAGUGUCUGGGAAUAGACAUUUUUUUCCAUAUACAAUCAAAUGCUCUAUGUAUAAAGAUUUAUAUUUGAUCAGACAAUCUCCUGCUCUCAAUGCAAAACCUCCGAGGGGCUAACAACUAAACCUGCAUCUCCUUGAAAAACAGUUAAAAGCAAACAGCUACUCUGUGCAAAAAGCAGGCAUAACCUCAAGGUCUAUGCUUGCCCCACAUUGAUCUUUUAAUGAGAUCCACUGUGAUCUCCUACAGGAAAAUAUACACCGUGCAACAAAUCCUGCCUACCUGCCUACCUAUACACAGGAACAAUUGUCAACCCUGAACGUCCUCAGGUGGAUUAAAAUCUCAUUUUCCAUCAUGAAAUCAUUGCUGUUGGUUAGAAAACAAAGCAACAGCUUCAUUUUCCCACUAGCAGGACGAAAUUUCAAGGCUGCUGUUUAUAAAACAAAGUAAUGUUUAAUUGCACAAAUUUGUUUUGCUGUUAUUGAGCAAAAACAAGUUAGAUGCCCAACAGCGUUAUUUUUCUUUCCCUGCAUAACACCUCAUUAAUGCAUUCAAACCUGUUAGAGUUUGUUAGUCCCAGAGGCUCUUGUUGAAACAGAACGAUCAAUAGAUGCAAAAAGAACAGGUAAAGAGGCAAUCAGGGUCCUAGAAAGCUGAAAUAUUUCCCAUUAGGACAUUGUAGUAACUUCCCCUGAACAAGCAUUUCAGCAGCUGGUGCUAUGAGCAAGGGGACAUCCCAGGUAGGAGAAACCCGAGUGAGACGCAUCUAGAUUUGACCACACAGAGCAGAACAUGCUCUGGACAGCAAGAUGUGCUGCAAACAGCUUGGGCUAUCCCACACAGGACAGGUACUUCUCAGGAAAUUCUGCGUAUGGGAGAUAAUUGGAAGAAAUGGCUCCAACGUUUCAGGUUCUGAUCUCCUCACAGUAAUGAGCGCACAAGCGGACGAUGCAUAUGCAUGAGAACAUAAUUAAGAGUGGUAAAACCUGGAAGAUUUUCAAACUCGGUGGCAAUUACCAACUUAAACACACAAAAAAUUAAGAUAGCCUUAUACCCAAAGGAAAGUUAUUAUUCCGAGUGCCUUGCCUCAUUAUAGUUAGCUGGGGCUCAGACAGCAGGCGAGCGAGCAGGGGAAAGCUGCCUCCCAUCAGCAGCAGGUGCUCUCCCCAGAAUGGAGGCAGGAUGCUGACAUACAUCCUUCUGCUCUUGCCAAGGCAUCUCAAACGGUCCCAAAAUGCUUUAUCAGGACAAAAAUAGAAAGCAGAGGGCGCACAUGACUGGCAGCUCGGGCUCCCCUGUUGCUCUUUGGGCCUCUCUGGUGAAGAGCAUUCAUGGACAGAGAGCUACCCUGUGUAAAUAGAUUCACUAAAUAAAUGCGGUAAUUAUACCGAAUAUUAUUCUCAGAGGGAACAGCAGUAGGGAAAUGAUUUGCAUAAGAAAUGUGGAUUAUUCAUGUAAAUGAAUGUGUUAUUUGUUUAUAGAAAAAAUUAAGCUAUGUCUAAAGACCUAGAACUCAGCUAUACGUUCCAGAUAACCUUUUACCAGCAUCUCAUGUCUUCACUGUGCCCACCUUUAUGAAAUUCACCUUUGCAGGACUAGCUAUAUUUUUCUCAUAAACCCAUUUUGUUAAAGCUGAAACUCCCCUCAGUCCAGGAGACAGUUAAUCUGCUCAAGGAAGCCUGUUUGGGUUGCCAUUAAAGUACCUUUACAUGAAUUCAGGCUUUUCAUCUUUGUUUCAGCAAGCUGAGACUAGGAGCAGGAGAGAGAGGAGCAUUUUCUAGGUUUGAAAUGCUGAGCAAAAAGCCUGACCGAGGAGGAUGGAUUCUUGAAUUUUCUUCCUCCGUGUGCUGGAUAAAAGGAGGGAGGGGCUCAGGUCCCAGGCUGGCUCUGCCCUGCACAGUCCAGAAGCAACCAGAACUGUCCUCAGUUUUGGGGGACAAUAGUACCUCAUGGCAGGCUAGCAUAGCCUUGUAGACCCCCAGAGCUGGGCUACACCAUGUGCCCACCUUCUACCCUCUGGGCCACACCAAAGCAUGCUCACCGUUGAGGUACUCUAACCCUGCUGCCUGAGCAAUGCAGAAGGGGUUAAUCCUGUUACAACUACAUCCUAUUAACAUCAGGACAGCCUCAUCCUUCAUCCCUGAGAUCCCAAGCCCAGGGUUAUUCAGCAGUGGCUUAACACAAAAAGCAGACAAGCAGCCUUACCUGAUGCUGCAGGACCUUCACCCUGAGACUCAGCCCUGCAGAACAGCCAGCUCAGCUCCCGGACCCAUGCUGGGAAGGGCACUAGCACCCAGCACAGGAGCAGCUUUACUGACAACCAGGAGCCUUUCUCACUAAGCUUUGCUCUCAAGAACCUGCUAACUAGAGGCAGCUCUUCUUACAUGCCAAGUCAUUGAGAAGAAACACUCUUAGCUGAUCCUGACUUUCAUGAGUAUGCAACAGUGUGGACCACCUGAGGAUCUGUUCCUCUAGUUGCUUUAAAGAAUUUGAGGAAGGAUGAAUGUCUACCUCACAAUCAAGCAGGAAAGGCUUCAUUUACUGUCAUGGUGAGCUCUCCAGUGACAGACAUGUUUGCAGCUUAGGUUUUGGUACCUUAAUUCAGCAAGGCAAUGUGGACUUCUCAGCUUGCUUCACCUGUUUCAGGUGGCUGGAGCUGACAGAAGUUCUUUGAUGUUCGUCAGAUUUACUUCAGCGUUCUAAAUAAUUUAGAGAGCAGUGUUGAGUGAUGGCACCUCCACGUGGUCUUUCCACCAAAUUUCUCCUGAGAUUUUGUAUUUCCAGGUAUUUGUGAACCAUUCAAAUAAAAAAAAAAAAAGAGGAAGAAAUAAGGGUACCUUCUACUGGACUCAGCAAUUUAUUCUUGCAGCAUAUGAAUUAUUUUCUGUUAAUUUAUCCCCUAAGUUCUCUAUGUGCUUAGCUAUGUGUUAGUUUGAUAGAGUAUCCCUUUCUUUUUUGCAUUUGAUACAAUUAAAGUUCUGCAAAACUCA